GACGAACGCUGGCGGCGUGCCUAAUACAUGCAAGUCGAACGAGAGCAACCGGUGCUUGCCCUGGUCAAUCUAGUGGCGAACGGGUGAGUAACACGUGGGUAACCUGCCCAUCAGAGGGGGAUAACAUCCGGAAACGGGUGCUAAAACCGCAUAGGUCUUCGAACCGCAUGGUUUGAAGAGGAAAAGAGGCGCAAGCUUCUGCUUAUGGAUGGACCCGCGGUGCAUUAGCUAGUUGGUGAGGUAACGGCUCACCAAGGCCGUGAUGCAUAGCCGACCUGAGAGGGUGAUCGGCCACAUUGGGACUGAGACACGGCCCAAACUCCUACGGGAGGCAGCAGUAGGGAAUCUUCCGCAAUGGACGCAAGUCUGACGGAGCAACGCCGCGUGAGUGAAGAAGGUUUUCGGAUCGUAAAACUCUGUUGUUAGAGAAGAACAAGUGCUAGAGUAACUGUUAGCGCCUUGACGGUAUCUAACCAGAAAGCCACGGCUAACUACGUG
This 498-nucleotide ribosomal RNA is filed under the name uncultured bacterium. RNAcentral's name for it is "partial 16S ribosomal RNA". It matches the Rfam family "Bacterial small subunit ribosomal RNA", at positions 28 to 507 of the family's 1533-position model. The record is from RNAcentral.